Molecule: ribosomal RNA, 938 nt
Filed under: Lactiplantibacillus fabifermentans
Lineage: Bacteria; Bacillati; Bacillota; Bacilli; Lactobacillales; Lactobacillaceae
Description: bacterial SSU rRNA
Rfam family: Bacterial small subunit ribosomal RNA
Source: RNAcentral
GCAGUCGACGAACUCUGGUAUUGAUUGGUACUUGUAUCAUGAUUUACAUUUGAGUGAGUGGCGAACUGGUGAGUAACACGUGGGAAACUUGCCCAGAAGCGGGGGAUAACACCUGGAAACAGAUGCUAAUACCGCAUAACAACUUGGACCGCAUGGUCCGAGCUUGAAAGAUGGUUUCGGCUAUCACUUCUGGAUAGUCCCGCGGCGCAUUAGCUAGAUGGUGAGGUAACGGCUCACCAUGGCAAUGAUGCGUAGCCGACCUGAGAGGGUAAUCGGCCACAUUGGGACUGAGACACGGCCCAAACUCCUACGGGAGGCAGCAGUAGGGAAUCUUCCACAAUGGACGAAAGUCUGAUGGAGCAACGCCGCGUGAGUGAAGAAGGGUUUCGGCUCGUAAAACUCUGUUGUUAAAGAAGAACAUAUCUGAGAGUAACUGUUCAGGUAUUGACGGUAUUUAACCAGAAAGCCACGGCUAACUACGUGCCAGCAGCCGCGGUAAUACGUAGGUGGCAAGCGUUGUCCGGAUUUAUUGGGCGUAAAGCGAGCGCAGGCGGUUUUUUAAGUCUGAUGUGAAAGCCUUCGGCUCAACCGAAGAAGUGCAUCGGAAACUGGGAAACUUGAGUGCAGAAGAGGACAGUGGAACUCCAUGUGUAGCGGUGAAAUGCGUAGAUAUAUGGAAGAACACCAGUGGCGAAGGCGGCUGUCUGGUCUGUAACUGACGCUGAGGCUCGAAAGUAUGGGUAGCAAACAGGAUUAGAUACCCUGGUAGUCCAUACCGUAAACGAUGAAUGCUAAGUGUUGGAGGGUUUCCGCCCUUCAGUGCUGCAGCUAACGCAUUAAGCAUUCCGCCUGGGGAGUACGACCGCAAGGUUGAAACUCAAAGGAAUUGACGGGGGCCCGCACAAGCGGUGGAAGCAUGUGGGUUUAAUUCGAAGCUA